UACAGAGGUCCCAAGCGUUGUUCGGAUUCACUGGGCGUAAAGGGUGCGUAGGUGGUUAGGUAAGUCGGAUGUGAAAUCUCGGAGCUCAACUCCGAAAUGGCAUUGGAAACUACCUGGCUUGAGGAUUGGAAGGGGGACUGGAAUACUUGGUGUAGCAGUGAAAUGCGUAGAUAUCUAGUAGAACACCAGUGGCGAAGGCGAGUCCCUGGACAAUUCCUGACACUGAGGCACGAAAGCUAGGGGAGCAAAC
This 250-nucleotide ribosomal RNA is filed under the name uncultured bacterium. RNAcentral's name for it is "partial 16S ribosomal RNA". It matches the Rfam family "Bacterial small subunit ribosomal RNA", at positions 524 to 773 of the family's 1533-position model. The record is from RNAcentral.